RNAcentral lists this ribosomal RNA (465 nucleotides) under uncultured Klebsiella sp. RNAcentral's name for it is "bacterial SSU rRNA". It matches the Rfam family "Bacterial small subunit ribosomal RNA", at positions 338 to 795 of the family's 1533-position model. The record is from RNAcentral. Lineage: Bacteria; Pseudomonadati; Pseudomonadota; Gammaproteobacteria; Enterobacterales; Enterobacteriaceae.
CCUACGGGAGGCAGCAGUGGGGAAUAUUGCACAAUGGGCGCAAGCCUGAUGCAGCCAUGCCGCGUGUGUGAAGAAGGCCUUCGGGUUGUAAAGCACUUUCAGCGGGGAGGAAGGCGUUAAGGUUAAUAACCUUGUCGAUUGACGUUACCCGCAGAAGAAGCACCGGCUAACUCCGUGCCAGCAGCCGCGGUAAUACGGAGGGUGCAAGCGUUAAUCGGAAUUACUGGGCGGAAAGCGCACGCAGGCGGUCUGUCAAGUCGGAUGUGAAAUCCCCGGGCUCAACCGGGGAACUGCAUUCGAAACUGGCAGGCUAGAGUCUUGUAGAGGGGGGUAGAAUUCCAGGUGUAGCGGUGAAAUGCGUAGAGAUCUGGAGGAAUACCGGUGGCGAAGGCGGCCCCCUGGACAAAGACUGACGCUCAGGUGCGAAAGCGUGGGGAGCAAACAGGAUUAGAUACCCUAGUAGUC